Molecule: RNA transcript, 1693 nt
Organism: Formica exsecta
Lineage: Eukaryota; Metazoa; Arthropoda; Insecta; Hymenoptera; Formicidae
Exons: 5
Source: RefSeq, a predicted model, not a curated record
AUCUGAUUUUAACGAUUUUUAGAUAUAUAGUUAUCUGAAUUUAUUGAAAACUAUUGACCAUAUAAAGAAUUUAAUUUCAACUUUUUCAAUACAUACACAAAGAGAAAUCCAUGAGAAAGUAAAUUGCGAAUUAAAUACAUUAUAGUAUUCUCUACAAUAGAAGAUUUACAGAAAAAAAUAGCAAGUUUUAUUCUCGAUCUUCAAUUUAUCUCUCGACUCAACUAGCGUCUAGCACGAUGCAUAGCAUACUAAUAGAAAUAUUUUUUUGUACCAACCAUUACGAGGCUUGCGAUCUGCAGAUUUCAUCUUGUUUCUCCUACGAAGACCAACACGAAGAACUUGCCGACGAUGAAGAAAAGGGAAGGCGGAGGAAAGCGAGCCACCCUUUCGCCUGCCUGCAGGCUCCUUAAUCAGGCGCGUCGCGUGGCUGGCACGUAACACGGUAUAGAUUCAACCCUACUUCCCGUACUCUCAUCGAUAUCGACGACGACGACGACGACGACGAUGACGACGACGACGACGACGACGACGUCGUCGGUAUAUAACCAGUAGCCUCAUGCCACUCACAUCUUUACACGACUAUGUGCGUGUAGCACGACAGAGCGGUAAAAUGUGAGCAGUGUGGCAUUGGAGGGUUGAGACUUCAGUGAUAGGUAAGGGUUAUGGAUUGGAGACUUUGUUUAAGCUGAUGCCACCGUCCACUCUUAUCCGGCUCGUGGCAUGUCCAGGCUGGCUGUGCAUUUUUCAAUCCUCGUCGCACGGCGAGAAUUUCAAGACUAAAUCUAAAAGCGUCACGGCAUUACAUCCGCAAUAAUGUAUUCCGAUCAGAGAGAGGGGGAAGAGGGGGAAGAGAAUCCCCUUUCGCGUAUGAGUCUGCAACACCACGCCGAAGCCACGGCGGUAACUCCUGAUUAUCCCUCGGUCUCGGAUUUCGAGCGGGACUUCCUGGGCUUAUCGAGCCAUAGCCAAUGGUCGUCGAUGCUGCAUCGCACAAGGCAUCAUCGAUCCAGAUUUUGCAAAAUCCUGAUUGCUCUGCUGCAAGGAUGUCGGCGGUGAGAUGAUAAGAGAAAGAGAGACAGAGAGAGAAAAAGAGAAGCGAACAACCGCACGAACUGAAGCACUGUAUCCCUCACGUCCUGUAUACAAGCUCACCCGUUGUACAUUGCAUCGAGGGGUCCAGCGACCGCCUAACUGCGCGCCUCCGAGUUUGAGUCUAGAACGACUCGAGUCUGGAAAGGAGAAUGGGGGUUGGGAACGGUUCGAACGUUUCGGAAUCUCCGUUACCGCUUUCUCGUAUAAGGGCGACUACUCUCCGAUAUCCCAACAGCCGGGCUGGGAUCGCAACCGAGAAACCGUUCGCUCGGGAAAAACGUGCAGCGCGUAGCGCUAUGUGGGCGAUGAUGUAAGAAGUGCAUUUAUCGUCGAAAAUGUAUGUAAAAUGUGUGUGUGUGUGUGUGUGUGAGGCUUCAGAAACGCACAAAAUAAGAACAUUAAUAUUAAGCAAUAUAUAAUAUAAACCGAUAAAAACUCUGUAUUGUUUAAAAAAUUUGUGUUAAAAAAUCUACUAUUAUAUUGUAUAUAUAAAAUACACUAUAGUGUAUUCUUUAUGAGUAUUAUUAGAUAGGUGAAAAAAAGAGAAUAAAAACUGCUAACACACAAUAAAAUAGCCAAAAGUUUGAUUUUUUGCUCAUGA